This 1103-nucleotide long non-coding RNA is filed under the name Homo sapiens (human). RNAcentral's name for it is "long intergenic non-protein coding RNA 943". Lineage: Eukaryota; Metazoa; Chordata; Mammalia; Primates; Hominidae. The record is from RNAcentral.
AGAGACUGAAAAUAAGAAAGGGGUGAGGCCUAAGGGACAAUCAGGAUGUUUUUCAGAGAGAAGUGUGGAUGCUGGACAGGAAGAACCACAGAUACCAGAUACGGAGAGUCAAGGGAUUGGAUUGUGGAUUGCAUUGGUGGUUUUCCUCAGUUUCCUCAUCUUCUCCACAAGUUUCUACAUAUCGAAUGCAGAGCAGCCCUUCUUCAAAGGACCUCCUACGGAAGCUGCUAAGGAACUCAGUCUGUAGCUCUGCGUGGAGCCAUGUGUAAACACUGAACUGAGACCUGCCACCUCCUACUACCUAAGGGCCCAUUUUCAUCUGAUAUCAUCCCCCAGAAACAAACUCAUGAUGACUUCCAUGUUUUUUUUAGAUUAGAUACAUGGAGAAUUUUCCUUUCCCUUAGAAUUAAAAUCCUGCAUUCUAAUUUUCAGGUAAAACUUUUUCGUCUCUACAGAACUCUCUCCAAGUGCACACCCAUAGAUUGGUUUGCUUGUGGAAUCCUAGCAUAUCAGAAAUGAAGGAAUCUCAGAAAUUGUUUUCAUCAAACACCUCAUAUGCAGAAGGCAAAAUGAAGGUUCAGAGCAGAAAUGAUUUGUCCAAGGAUGCAACACUCAUCUGCAGCAGAGGGAAGCUGAGCUCUGCAGACCCACCUAGCACUGCAGAGGCAGCCCUCUAGGACAAGGCUUCAUAAAAAAGUGACUUUAUGAGUUGGCUCCAUAAAAAAGAUACAGAUUAAGAAAUUGUUUAAACAGUGAUCUCUAUAUAAUUACUCUUUUAUUUAAAAGUAUGGGCUGGGAGCGGUGGCUGACGCCUGUAAUCCCAGCACUUUGGGAGGCCGAUGUGAGCAGAUAACCUGAGGUCGGGAGUUAGAGACCAGCCUGACCAACAUGGAGAAACUCCGUCUCUACUAAAAAUACAAAAUUAGCAGGGUGUGGUGGUGCAUGCCUGUAAUCCCAGCUACUCGGGAGGCUGAGGCAGGAGAACUGCUUGAACCCAGGAGGCAGAGGUUGUGGUGAGCCGAGAUCGCGCCAUUGCACUCCAGCCUGGGCAACAAGAGCGAAACUCUGUCUCAAAAUAAAUAAAUAAAUAAGUAUUCCUUUCC